AUUUAAGUUGCCGUUAAACAAUAUUGCGGAAUUAGAAAGGUUGGAUAAUUUAUUGAAAAUGGACCGUAAAGUCGUAAGAAAAUUGAGCUAGAACUUGCAUUUUGUGGCAAGGAAGGGAACUUCAACAAAACUGUGAGCAACACUUUGAAACACGUAAUUGGCCCUGAUUUAUGGUCGUUUUACACAUUUUGUGGGAUAGAAAGCAAAGCUGGCGAAACCGUUGUUCGCAAGUUCAAAGGCCUUGACGUCUAUCAAUGCAUCGAAAAUGCGAUCCGCAAUAGAUUUCCAAAUGAGACCGUGACUGCUAUACAUGGGAAAUGUAUUGAAGUUUUCACCAAAACAAGGAAUCAGAU
Molecule: long non-coding RNA, 353 nt
Organism: Daphnia pulicaria
Lineage: Eukaryota; Metazoa; Arthropoda; Branchiopoda; Diplostraca; Daphniidae
Exons: 3
Source: RefSeq, a predicted model, not a curated record